Molecule: long non-coding RNA, 101 nt
Organism: Sapajus apella (tufted capuchin)
Lineage: Eukaryota; Metazoa; Chordata; Mammalia; Primates; Cebidae
Exons: 3
Source: RefSeq, a predicted model, not a curated record
UGGCAGAGUUACUUUCUUCUGAGAUCUGUCUCCUUGGCUUGCUGACGACUGUCUUCACGGUGCAUCCUCCCGUGGUCUUCUCCUGUAAAAAGCCCAUGUCC